Long non-coding RNA from Sycon ciliatum, 529 nucleotides. RefSeq lists it as uncharacterized. Lineage: Eukaryota; Metazoa; Porifera; Calcarea; Leucosolenida; Sycettidae. The record is from RefSeq and is a predicted model, not a curated record. The transcript is spliced from 3 exons.
AGUAGUACAAUACCGGGAGGUGACACGGGCACACAUCCGGGAUUACGAGCUUUGCCUCACAAAAAAAUACAAACCGCGCGAAAAUUCAAAUUUUUGCUCUUUUGACAGCGCUGAGAAACCUUCGAAUAGUGACGAGAAGACCAGACGUAUCCCUUCGUGACAAGCUGCUACUUGUUCUUUUCAGCUCGAGCCUUUUUUGGGAGCUACUCUGGUACAUCGUCCACACUGCUGCCAAGUCUCGACUUCCCAAAAUGGAUGGAAGUGACGAAUAUGGAGGACGCUAUCCUAGAACCCGUGGACAGAAGAGGAAGAGCGACGACUUGGGUGCGGCAGCGAAGUCUGCCUGCCCAACGCCAAUUGCUCCUCACCCAAAAACGCACCCCAUUGACGAAGAUCAUCCUUGUAUAGACGAUGAUAAAUACUCUCAUCUGACAAGGUUAGUUGCACAGUUCUACCAUAUUUGUAAGGUGGACGUCGGAUAUAACAUGGCUUAUCUCUUUUUGGUAUGCCAUCUACUGCACAGAACACG